UAGUGAGUUUGAUCCUGGCUCAGGACGAACGCUGGCGGCGUGCUUAACACAUGCAAGUCGAACGAGGUCCAUGGAGCUUGCUCCGGAAGACCUAGUGGCGAACGGGUGCGUAACACGUGAGAAACCUACCCCAGACUUGGGAAUAACAGUCGGAAACGACUGCUAAUACCGAAUACCUUCGGAGCGUCGCAUGGCGCAUCGAAGAAAGCUUUUUAGCGGUUUGGGAGGGUCUCGCGGCCUAUCAGCUAGUUGGUGAGGUAACGGCUCACCAAGGCAUCGACGGGUAGCUGGUCUGAGAGGAUGAUCAGCCACACUGGGACUAAGACACGGCCCAGACUCCUACGGGAGCAGCAGUGGGGAAUAUGCACAAUGGGGCGAAAGCCCUGAUGCAGCGACGCCGCGUGA
This 405-nucleotide ribosomal RNA is filed under the name uncultured Ilumatobacter sp. RNAcentral describes it as "bacterial SSU rRNA". It matches the Rfam family "Bacterial small subunit ribosomal RNA", at positions 1 to 404 of the family's 1533-position model. Lineage: Bacteria; Bacillati; Actinomycetota; Acidimicrobiia; Acidimicrobiales; Ilumatobacteraceae. The record is from RNAcentral.